CCAGACUCCUACGGGAGGCAGCAGUGGGGAAUAUUGCACAAUGGGCGCAAGCCUGAUGCAGCGACGCCGCGUGAGGGAUGACGGCCUUCGGGUUGUAAACCUCUUUCAGUAGGGAAGAAGCCUCUCGGGGUGACGGUACCUGCAGAAGAAGCGCCGGCUAACUACGUGCCAGCAGCCGCGGUAAUACGUAGGGGCGCAAGCGUUGUCCGGGAAUUAUUGGGCGUAAAGAGCUCGUAGGCGGUCUGUCGCGUCUGCUGUGAAAACGCGGGGGCUCAACCCCGCGCCUGCAGUGGGUACGGGCAGACUAGAGUGCGGUAGGGGAGACUGGAAUUCCUGGUGUAGCGGUGGAAUGCGCAGAUAUCAGGAGGAACACCGGUGGCGAAGGCGGGUCUCUGGGCCGUUACUGACGCUGAGGAGCGAAAGCAUGGGGAGCGAACAGGAUUAGAUACCCUGGUAGUCCAUGCCGUAAACGUUGGGCACUAGGUGUGGGACCCAUUCCACGGGUUCCGUGCCGCAGCUAACGCAUUAAGUGCCCCGCCUG
Molecule: non-coding RNA, 541 nt
Filed under: Georgenia sp. SUBG003
Lineage: Bacteria; Bacillati; Actinomycetota; Actinomycetes; Allobogoriellales; Allobogoriellaceae
Description: bacterial SSU rRNA
Rfam family: Bacterial small subunit ribosomal RNA
Source: RNAcentral